This 440-nucleotide ribosomal RNA is filed under the name uncultured bacterium. RNAcentral's name for it is "partial 16S ribosomal RNA". It matches the Rfam family "Bacterial small subunit ribosomal RNA", at positions 338 to 795 of the family's 1533-position model. The record is from RNAcentral.
CCUACGGGAGGCAGCAGUGGGGAAUAUUGCACAAUGGGGGAAACCCUGAUGCAGCGACGCCGCGUGAGUGAAGAAGUAAUUCGUUAUGUAAAGCUCUAUCAGCAGGGAAGAAAAUGACGGUACCUGAGUAAGAAGCCCCGGCUAACUCCGUGCCAGCAGCCGCGGUAAUACGGAGGAUGCGAGCGUUAUCCGGAUUUAUUGGGUUUAAAGGGUGCGUAGACGGCAGUGCAAGUCUGGAGUGAAAGGCGGGGGCUCAACCCCCGGACUGCUCUGGAAACUGUACGGCUGGAGUGCAGGAGAGGUAAGUGGAAUUCCUAGUGUAGCGGUGAAAUGCGUAGAUAUUAGGAGGAACACCAGUGGCGAAGGCGGCUUACUGGACUGUAACUGACGUUGAGGCUCGAAAGCGUGGGGAGCAAACAGGAUUAGAUACCCUAGUAGUC